GCUGCGGCAAGAUCCGCAGCCGGAGUUAGCGUUCCGAACACUUACACAAGGCAGCAUUAUGUAUAU
Molecule: small RNA, 66 nt
Filed under: Serratia sp. TEL
Lineage: Bacteria; Pseudomonadati; Pseudomonadota; Gammaproteobacteria; Enterobacterales; Yersiniaceae
Description: isrK
Source: RNAcentral